Molecule: ribosomal RNA, 253 nt
Filed under: uncultured bacterium
Lineage: Bacteria
Description: partial 16S ribosomal RNA
Rfam family: Bacterial small subunit ribosomal RNA
Source: RNAcentral
UACGUAGGGUGCGAGCGUUAAUCGGAAUUACUGGGCGUAAAGUGUGCGCAGGCGGCUUUGCAAGACAGAUGUGAAAUCCCCGGGCUCAACCUGGGAACUGCAUUUGUGACUGCAAGGCUAGAGUACGGCAGAGGGGGAUGGAAUUCCGCGUGUAGCAGUGAAAUGCGUAGAUAUGCGGAGGAACACCAAUGGCGAAGGCAAUCCCCUGGGCCUGUACUGACGCUCAUGCACGAAAGCGUGGGGAGCAAACAGG